RNAcentral lists this ribosomal RNA (253 nucleotides) under uncultured bacterium. RNAcentral describes it as "partial 16S ribosomal RNA". It matches the Rfam family "Bacterial small subunit ribosomal RNA", at positions 524 to 776 of the family's 1533-position model. The record is from RNAcentral.
UACAGAGGUCUCAAGCGUUGUUCGGAUUUAUUGGGCGUAAAGAGCGUGUAGGCGGCCAGGUAGGUCUGCUGUGAAAACUCGAGGCUUAACCUCGAGCUGUCGGCGGAAACCAUCUGGCUAGAGUCCGGAAGAGGAGAAUGGAAUUCCCGGUGUAGCGGUGAAAUGCGCAGAUAUCGGGAAGAACACCCGUGGCGAAGGCGGUUCUCUGGGACGGUACUGACGCUGAGACGCGAAAGCGUGGGGAGCGAACAGG